GGCGAAAUGGCCGAGUGGUCUAAGGCGUCAGACUCAAGUCUUCAGUAGAUUUAUGCACGUUGUGCAGGACCGCGGGGUUUCUGAUCUCGUUAUCGAGGCGUGGGUUCGAAUCCCACUUUCGUCA
Non-coding RNA from Strongyloides papillosus, 124 nucleotides. The record is from Rfam. NCBI's taxonomy places the organism in Eukaryota, Metazoa, Nematoda, Chromadorea, Rhabditida, Strongyloididae.